Molecule: ribosomal RNA, 335 nt
Filed under: uncultured bacterium
Lineage: Bacteria
Description: bacterial SSU rRNA
Rfam family: Bacterial small subunit ribosomal RNA
Source: RNAcentral
GACGAACGCUGGCGGCGUGCUUAACACAUGCAAGUCGAGCGGUAACAGGUGUAGCAAUACAUGCUGACGAGCGGCGGACGGGUGAGUAACGCUUGGGAAUCUGCCUGUUAGUGGGGGACGAACCCGGGGAAACGUCGGGCGUAAUACCGCAUACGCACUACGGUGGAAAGCCGGGGACCGCAAGGCCUGGCGCUAACAGAUGAGCCCAAGUCGGAUUAGCUAGUUGGUAGGGUAACGGCCACCAAGGCGACGAUCCGUAACUGGUCUGAGAGGACGACCAGUCACACCGGAACUGAGACACGGUCCGGACUCCUACGGGAGGCAGCAGUGGGGAA